GGACCGGGAACAUAAUUAAACCUUACUAAUAUCAUCAAAAGAAUGAAGUGAAAUUUACACAAACUAGUAAUAAAAAAAAUGUUCUCAAUUCGUCUUCCAUAUACAUUGGAAUCUCUAAUUAAACAUAUUGAUCUUAUAAGCUUUAUCCCUUUAAUGAAAGGGUAGUAUAAAACUCUGCCAAAAAGAAAACCAAAAUUAAGAUCAAUUCACCCCCCGUAAUACCAUAUGAUCAGUCGCAUGUUAAAUCAUGUACGGAACUCCCCGUCAAAUUAAGUUUCAUGAAGCAAGUCAUCUCAGGGUGCCUUCUUCUCUUCAUUAUGUUCAUAAUAUUCAAUUUCCCACUCAAUUUCACAUGGCUGCUCAGCUCUAAAAUCCCAGAACUUAUAUUACCGCUUAAUCUCGUGGUAUUCGGUACCCGAACCGAGCUCACAUCAAACGAAACAUUCAACCUCUCGGUUUUCCUAGCUUGAGCUCUCCCGGUAGGUAUCUUGAACUCUCCAACGACUACCAAACCACACGAAACACUCCCGGUCGUGUUGUCGAACCGGAAGUCUCCAAAAUUGGUGUUCUCAACAGCGAUCUGCGUUAUAAGUGUGAAGUUGAAGGACGGAGACGUCGAGUUAGUUACGUACUUGAGAUUUCUAACCUGGACCGAUCGGAACUUGAAACCAGGUGUUCUAGGACGUAAAAGGAUACUUCCGAAUGUCAAAAGAAUGGUUCCUAGGACGACCGUGAUGGUGAGAACGUAAACGAGACAUUUACUGCUUUUUUCUUCUCGGCGUAAAGAUUUGGGUUUAAUUCCCCCGAACUCCAUGUCGCUUCUUGGAUAAUCUUGAACAGGUGCAAGUGGCUUGGCCUGGGGAUCUUCUUGUUGUUGCAUAUUGUUUUUCUAGAAGAAAAAAUAGGGGUGAGAAUAUUUAGGAUUUCUUUAAAAAAAAAUCAAGAAUGGAAGAUAUAGGCUUGGAUUUUUGCUUUUUGUAAGUUUUGGUACGAGUUAUAAGCAUGGGGACAAUGUAUUUAUAUAUGAAAUCCAGGUUUAGGGUUUCUCGAACGACCCGCGUUGAAUGAGCAUUCAAGUGUAUUGAGUAUUUACCUUUUUACUUAGUGGGUCAGAAUUAACGCCGGCCGACAAAAUUCUUCUGCCCCUAAUGUGUCUCACCUAUAGUUGUAUAACACGUGUUCCACUUAACCUCGUUAAACCCCAUUUCCGUUAAUUAUUUUUGCGGAGAAUAGCACUAUUUUUUUAUAGAAUGAUUUAAGUUUUGGUUAAAAUGUGCCAGUUUUUUAAGAUUGACUUUUUUUUUCAUGAAAUUUAGAGUUAAAAUGUUUUUUUUAAUUCAAGCUAAUUACAAUACUUUUAAUUAUAUAGUCAUAAAUUGAAUUUUUUAUUUUAAAAAUGUGACAUUAAUAAAUUUAAUAAAAAAAUCAAUAGGUUAACAUUUAUAUUGAAAUUUGAAGUCUGGAAAGUAUUUAUGAAAUAGAAGUAUAAAAAUUAAUUUCCUAAUUUUCAAAAAGUACGAGGACUUAUGAUAUAUUUUAACUUUCAUUUUUUUUUACAAAUAGCAUUCAUAAAAAACAAUAAAUAUUUGUUUGAAAAGUUUCUUCAAGAAUGUUUGAAUCAGAUUGAACCGUGUUAGAGUUGUGAGACUCAAAUUCUAAGAGAUUACUUGUAAGUUAAGUUAAACAAAAUUUAUUUUUUUAGAAGAUUUAGUAUUUAUUAGUAUAAUAUAUUUAGCAUUUAUUAGCAUAGUUUAUUUGACUUACUAAUUUAACCUAUAAAUAGGUUUUUUUACAAUUUUAGAAAAUACGCCUAUUAGAGAUUAGAACUCAUAACACAUUUAGAGAAUUUUGUGUUUACGUUUUGAGGGUUCUUUUUUUCGGAUUUUUUGGGGUUUAGUUUUUUAUCUCCAUUUUUUGUACUUUUCGUUCUUUUGCCAUUAUAGUAAAAUUGUCUUUACCCGUGAUUUUUUUUAUCCUCUUUGGAGGAAUUUUUCCAUGUUAAAUUUGUGUGUUCAAUUUCUCAAUUUAUUUCGCUAUUUUUUUGUUACUUGUUGCUUAAUUGGGUCAAUCCUAACAGACCUUCUGGUCAGACCGAUUGAAUUGAAAAUCAAUAGGAUAUUAGUUCACAGAGUAGCUUUGAAUGAGUUAGUUUGGAAAUCAAUACGAACUAGUUAAAUCAACUAAAAAUUCGAUUGGAUCAGGAUAUUUGAACUAAACUAAAGCGGUCGAUUAGAUUAGUUAGAUCAAAAACCAACCAAUAUAACAUUUUAGAAAAUAACUUUAAACUGAUUCGACCAAAAAUCGGUACAAAUUAAUUAAAUCAACUAAAAAAACCUGAAUAUGGGAUAAAUUUCUUCCGCCCCACGUGGUCCCCUCUGCUGAUGCCCCACUCAUAAUUUUUACAUACGAUUACUAUUUAACCCUAUAUUACAAGCAUUCCUUUAGUUCCAUUUUCACGGUUAUAUGCUGCGAACUCCUCCUAAGGUGACGGAGGCAAAGGGCUUGACCUGCUCUCGCUCAGCCAUUGCCUAGGAUUUAGAAUCUGUGACUUCGAUGCUUGGCAAUGGCAACUAGCAUGUAUAUAAAUACUUGGGAAAUGGGGUUAGAUUCUUAUACAUGGUCUACAGCAUUUGUGAGGAAAAUAAGCAUGAUUGAGAUUGCUGAAACGCGUUAGCAAGCUUCUAAGGUCUCGAGUCUAGACUACUGUAGUGUUUAAGAAAUUCUAACCUGAAUAGCGCAUCAAAUACGAUGACCUUUGUUUUUCUUCUUCCUUGAAACAAUAUAUGGAAUAAAAUCAGUCAAUUUAAGAAAUUCCUUUGAGUAAAAAAUUAGGAAAUUUCCUCCUCCUCCUUCUUCUUCAUUUUUUUAAAAAAAUAUCUCUUUUUAUUUCAUAUUAGUUGUUUUGUCUUCCAAGAUUAACCAUAUGCAUGACAUGGGUUCAAAGAAUAUAAUCCAUUGAAUUUUGUGUCCAAGGGUUUUGGGGUAAUAGGAAAGGAGCGAUACUUAAUAAUUUAUAUUGUAUAUAUAUAUGGAUAUUUAUAAAAUUAACUAUCAUUUUAGAUGUGAAUGAAACACCAUAGCAAGGUUCUCUAUUGAAUAAAUUGAUAAAUUAGUUUCUUUACAUUAAAUUAGUAUUUAUACAUAAGGUAUAAUAAUAAAUUUAGCCUUCAACCUUUACACAUUUAUUCAAUUUGACUCAUAUUUUUUUAUUGGAUGUAAAUUAUAAAUUUUUGUAACUAAAAUGGCUAAAGGGUCAAAAAAAGCCUUAGUAACAAAUUUAAAAAAAAUCAAUUAAACCCUUUUAAAUUUAUGAAAAUAUCAUAAUAAUUAUAACAAAAAUUCAUAAAAAAUUUAAAAUUAUAAUCUUCUAUUGAAAAAUAACAAUACUGAUCCAACAAAAAAAAUAGGAUCAAUUUUUUUUAUUUUACCUUCUUUACAGAAUAAACUCUAAAAUAGUGUUGGCUAAAAUAUUGGUUAGACAAGAAAAGGAAAACAAAAUCACAAUCUAAAAAAUAUGGUGCGACCUUUCAAAUGUUAAGGAAAAGGAAUUGGUGGGUCUAAAGUCUAAACACACUGACUUAACAUUAUAGAAGAAGCUAAGUCUAUGGAAUUUUCUUUAUAUCCCAACUCAUGGGGCACCAAGGAAUUAUGUAUUCUUAGCUUGAAAAAGGGGCAACAACGACCCCAAAUGGGCCGUUGCUAAGUUCGCCGAAGUUUCGUGUGUAUACCUAGUCUAAAGAGACCAUAAAGCAAAAUAUAAAGCCCUUUGAGAGAAACUUCUUAUAUUACAACCGGGUAAAUUAUUAAAAUAGUCAUUUUUAUUUAACUCAGAUUACAUUUUAGUUAUUUAUGUUUGAAAUAUUAUGUUUUAGUCACUUACGUUAAUGUGUUGUAACAUUUUAGGCAUUGAGAGCCGUUAAUUUCCGUUAAUGGUGUAACGGUAAACUUAUGUGACACGUUAAAUCAUCAUUUUAAACAAAAAUUUUAGGUUAAAUUAUACAAUUGGUCCCCACAUAUUUUUUGUUUUGAGCAAUUUAAUUUUUUUUCUUUUAUGUUCUUUUAACUUUCCUUUUUUUUUUACUUUAUUUUUCAUUCUCUUUUGCUUCUUCCUUUGUUUUCCUUCGUUCUCCAUCUCUUUUAAUAUAGUUUUUCUAUAUUUUCCAUUUGUUAAAACUAAAGGGGGAAGAAGAAAAGGAAAAGAAAAAAAAUUAAAUUGUUCAAAAAACUAAAAGUGUAGGGACUAAUUUUAACAAAUGGAAAACAUAGAAAAACUAAAUUAAAAGAGAGGGAGAAAAGAAGAGAAUGGAAAAACAAAGGGAGAAAAGAAGAGAAUGGAAAAAAACGUUAAAAGAACAUAAAAGAAAAAAAAAUUAAAUUGCUCUAAACGAAAAAAAUAUGGGGACCGAUUGUAUAAUUUAACCUAAAAUUUUUGUUUGAAAUGAUGAUUUAACGUGCCACAUCGUAAUUAACAGUUCAGUGAAUAAAAUGCUACAACACAUUAAUGUAAGUGACAAAAACGUAACAUUUCAAACAUAAAUGACUAAAAUGUAACUUGAGGUAAACAAAAGUGACUAUUUGGUAGUUUACCCAAUACAACUUCUAUCUCAAAGUUUACUCCCGUUAUUGCAAAGUUACAUUCAAAUCUUAUUUUAUUCAUUUUAUCCAAACAAUAAUAGGGAUGAGAAAUAUAAAUAAUAGGAUUUGAACUUAUGUUAUUUAGGUGUGUAACGAGAUCUCUAUUUUUUUUUUAAAAAUAUGAAGAUUAUUUCUUAUCAAGAUUUGUACGUGCCUCUUCAAAUAACUGUCAUAUUAAAAAUUUAUAGGUAACUACAUCCAAAUAUCUAUGUUUUAAUCACUUCAAAAAGUUAUAAAUAAUUAAUUAAAACAUUAACUUACUAUUAUUUUAAAAACUAUACUGAAAAUUUAAACCCAACUUUUCUCUCUAAAUCCACACUUCUCUCCCUAAGUCCAAAAAGGCCAAAAAUCAACUAUCUACAACGAAACACAAGAAGCCGCUAUAUAUCAAGGAUUAACACUGUUGGAAGAUAGUUUGAGCAACUUAAGUUGCACGGCAAAUAAAUUGGCCACUAUUUGCACGCCAACAAGGCUAGUUGAACUCACACAAUAAGCACAUACUACAACAGAAAUUGACCUUAUCUUUGUUAUCUUGUCUGUUUUGGCUUUUUCUCUCGGUUUAGUCUAAAUUAAUUGUAACUUUAUAAAUAUAAAAGUUUUACUUUCCCUUUUUUGAAGAAAAAUAUUAUUCAAACAGAAUUCAGUGAAUAAUAUUUAGAUAAUUUAAACAAAAAUAAAUUAUAUUCUCAUCGAGAGAAUAUGUACUACACAAUUGGCCGAUUUAUGAGCAAAACGAAAAAAAACACACACACACACACAAACUAAUCACACAACAUUCGAGUUUCCUCAAUAAUUUGAUCAUAAAUGGAUAAAUCUAAAUUACUGUUGUUGAGUUUAUUAACAAUAAUUAAACAAUCCAACUCUUGUAUCAAAAGAUGAAGUUAACAUAUACACGUUUAAGCUUAGCUCACUUCCCACAACUUGUCUUGAAUCAAUUAAAACCACAAACAAACUUCAAUUUGGGAUUUAAUUAUUUCCAACAUGAUAUACAAUUUGACAUCAAGUUAUGAGAAUUUAAUGCUGAAAGCAGCCUAAAUGGAAGAAGAAGCAGGUAAGUGUUCACAAAAUAAUAGAAAAAAAUGGGGUCGUGGGGCUCAACUCGUUUCAUUCAACAGCGACGGGCGGGGCUAAGGGCUGUGGCCCAAGCAUUUACUUUCAAAGUCAUUGACCGAUGAAGUUAUAGCAAGUUGACUGACUUCUUAAGACACAAGGACUCACACGCCUUGCCGUCUCUGGCCAAUAUGUGAAACCAGAAUCAGUAAUUAACACUGUUAAUUAAAUUACUAAUAGGUCUAUAUCUGUAUCUAGUCCCUGUACUUUUUGGACUUUUCAAAUUUAGUCUCUUUGAUGAAUAUGUGUUCAAUUAGACUUUAAUUUUUAGAUCAAACCUUUGAAAAAAUUUAUAGGAAACCUAUUAACAGACUUAGCAAUUGAACUUCAAUUUUCAAAAAUAGACAAGUAGAGGGACUAAAUUUCAAGAAAGGAAACUGUAGAGACUGAAUUUCAAAAAAAUUGAAAAGUAUAGGGACCGGGAACAUAAUUAAACCUUACUAAUAUCAUCAAAAGAAUGAAGUGAAAUUUACACAAACUAGUAAUAAAAAAAAUGUUCUCAAUUCGUCUUCCAUAUACAUUGGAAUCUCUAAUUAAACAUAUUGAUCUUAUAAGCUUUAUCCCUUUAAUGAAAGGGUAGUAUAAAACUCUGCCAAAAAGAAAACCAAAAUUAAGAUCAAUUCACCCCCCGUAAUACCAUAUGAUCAGUCGCAUGUUAAAUCAUGUACGGAACUCCCCGUCAAAUUAAGUUUCAUGAAGCAAGUCAUCUCAGGGUGCCUUCUUCUCUUCAUUAUGUUCAUAAUAUUCAAUUUCCCACUCAAUUUCACAUGGCUGCUCAGCUCUAAAAUCCCAGAACUUAUAUUACCGCUUAAUCUCGUGGUAUUCGGUACCCGAACCGAGCUCACAUCAAACGAAACAUUCAACCUCUCGGUUUUCCUAGCUUGAGCUCUCCCGGUAGGUAUCUUGAACUCUCCAACGACUACCAAACCACACGAAACACUCCCGGUCGUGUUGUCGAACCGGAAGUCUCCAAAAUUGGUGUUCUCAACAGCGAUCUGCGUUAUAAGUGUGAAGUUGAAGGACGGAGACGUCGAGUUAGUUACGUACUUGAGAUUUCUAACCUGGACCGAUCGGAACUUGAAACCAGGUGUUCUAGGACGUAAAAGGAUACUUCCGAAUGUCAAAAGAAUGGUUCCUAGGACGACCGUGAUGGUGAGAACGUAAACGAGACAUUUACUGCUUUUUUCUUCUCGGCGUAAAGAUUUGGGUUUAAUUCCCCCGAACUCCAUGUCGCUUCUUGGAUAAUCUUGAACAGGUGCAAGUGGCUUGGCCUGGGGAUCUUCUUGUUGUUGCAUAUUGUUUUUCUAGAAGAAAAAAUAGGGGUGAGAAUAUUUAGGAUUUCUUUAAAAAAAAAUCAAGAAUGGAAGAUAUAGGCUUGGAUUUUUGCUUUUUGUAAGUUUUGGUACGAGUUAUAAGCAUGGGGACAAUGUAUUUAUAUAUGAAAUCCAGGUUUAGGGUUUCUCGAACGACCCGCGUUGAAUGAGCAUUCAAGUGUAUUGAGUAUUUACCUUUUUACUUAGUGGGUCAGAAUUAACGCCGGCCGACAAAAUUCUUCUGCCCCUAAUGUGUCUCACCUAUAGUUGUAUAACACGUGUUCCACUUAACCUCGUU
This 7356-nucleotide long non-coding RNA is filed under the name Gossypium barbadense (sea-island cotton). RNAcentral's name for it is "long non-coding RNA (GBAR_LNC023514)". Lineage: Eukaryota; Viridiplantae; Streptophyta; Magnoliopsida; Malvales; Malvaceae. The record is from RNAcentral.